GCCACUUGUGUCUUGUCCAGAUGUGCCUCGUUGUCUAGUUAGUCUCUGUGGACGUAGUUUCCGGUUUCUAAACAAUCUCGAAUGUCACGUGUUUGCCUUUUUCGUCGCCUGAGAUCCUGCACUUGGGUCCACCUGCCUUUUGUCCACCACACAAAAAAACAACAACCUGACAGCUUUAUGUAAAAAUCUUGGUCUCAGCAGAUUGGCAACAGUUAAAAGGAGACAACUGGACUCUUCUUGUUUGUCAGUCCUUCAUUCUCUCUGUCAAAUUUCAACUAACUAUUUGUAAAGAAAUAUGGUUCUAGUGUCACAGGUUUUAUGCUUUGUAAUUGUUUAUGAGACAGAGACGUCUGACGACAAUAUGCUGGAAGAACUAUUCUGCAGAUCAAAGCACCUUGACAAAGAAUUUUAAGGGUCAACAGCAGCCAAGUAUUGAUUUAAUAAAUGGCACAUUUAACAGAAAUGUAUUCUUCCACCAAGUAUUUAUGUGGUUUUGUGUGUAAAGUAAACACACUCUUUACAUCUUCACACAGGUCCAAUCUUUGUCUUUACUAGAGUGCUAUCCUUGAUUCAAAUGAGGAAUUAUAGUUGGAGUUGGAUCAGCUGACCGAGAGCUGCUGAAAGUGCAAGGAAACAGCACUCCAUUUAAAUCCAUCAAGAUCUGGAAUGGGUGCAAAGGCUUCACUUGGGGAAGCGUAGCAGAUGCACAUCCACACAAUACACGCCUGGGUGAUGUGCCAUGUUGGCCUGGCAGCAGUUAUACCAGGGAUACUAACUGGAGUUAUUAACUCAUUAAGAAGGACGGUUACAUCAUGGGACUGGAGACAUUUGAGUCAGUGAGGGAUGAGAGAUCACUCAGAAAUCCACAAACAAUCCUUCUCAGCCUCUCUAUGUCACUCUGGAGCAGCAG
This is a long non-coding RNA of Phyllopteryx taeniolatus (common seadragon), 910 nucleotides long. RefSeq lists it as uncharacterized. The transcript is spliced from 3 exons. Lineage: Eukaryota; Metazoa; Chordata; Actinopteri; Syngnathiformes; Syngnathidae. The record is from RefSeq and is a predicted model, not a curated record.